ACUUGAAGAUGUUGUGAAUGUGAAAUUGAUGCGGAUAGAUUUGGUAAUAAUCGUCAGGGCUGCAGUGUGGAGCUUGCCUGCAGCUUAGUGUAAACAGGGCAUACAGUUGCUCUCAAACUGUACGAACCGGUUAACAGCUAAAGUGCAGCACUUACACUACGCUGUUACCUUUGAUUUAUAAAACGUUCAACGUUCAAUUUGAUUGAAUAAAACCACAAGGCAGAUUGGAAUUAAGGAAGAUCACCAAUGAUAGCCAACAAAUUUAAAAAUAAAACGGUAUAUGUAUGUACAUAUGUACGUGUCGUGGUGCUGCACCUACGUUUACAUAUGAAUUUAUGUAUAAAAAAAAAAUGUACAAUUAGCUGUUUUUAAAUCUAACAAUUAAAAGGCAGCCGCCGCAAUGACUUGCAGUGCCAUGUACACUGUGGCACCGAGGGCCACAAAGAAGGACAGGGCGCGCGAUGGCUGGGGCAACACAACCACGGCAUAGACGAUGGUGUGGACAAUGCGGGCAAUGCCCACGGCGCGGAAGAGAUUGACGGCCAGGAAGACGCUGGGGUUCGUCAGCGUGUAGAGCAGGCCAAUGAUGAAAAAGGGCACAAUGUUCUCCAGAUCAUUGCGGUGGGCGCGGCGCACACGCUCCACAUUGGGAUCGUCGAAUUUGACCUUCAGCUUGGGCGACAUCAAGUCCUCGGGAUUGGCA
Drosophila obscura is the source of this 703-nucleotide long non-coding RNA. RefSeq lists it as uncharacterized. The record is from RefSeq and is a predicted model, not a curated record. The transcript is spliced from 3 exons. Lineage: Eukaryota; Metazoa; Arthropoda; Insecta; Diptera; Drosophilidae.